This 360-nucleotide long non-coding RNA is filed under the name Mytilus galloprovincialis (Mediterranean mussel). The record is from RNAcentral. Lineage: Eukaryota; Metazoa; Mollusca; Bivalvia; Mytilida; Mytilidae.
AGGCAAUUGCCUAUCGAGUGUACCUAGUGUGGACAAAAGCUUUGCCGUAGGGACUUUGCUACGAAUUAAAUAAGGGGGAUGGUAGGGUCACCCGACCCCAACUUUGGACCUCAAAACAAAAAAGUUCCGUAACUUUAACCCGACUGGGUAUUUGGGUCCAGGCAACCUUAGGCAAUUGCCUAUCGAGUGUACCUAGUGUGGACAAAAGCUUUGCCGUAGGGACUUUGCUACGAAUUUAAUAAGGGGGAUGGUAGGGUCACCCGACCCCAACUUUGGACCUCAAAACAAAAAAGUUCCGUAACUUUAACCCGACUGGGUAUUUGGGUCCAGGCAACCUUAGGCAAUUGCCUAUCGAGUGUA